UCAAGGCAGCGUGACUACUGUAGACCCAGCAGCUGGCUGCACAAGAAGAAAAGGUGGAGAGUUAGUCUGAAUCAGACAGGCUUGCCAAGAAGGCAGAACAUUUACAUUCACAGAACUGAGAACGCUGAGAAGCCGUGGGUGAAGCGAUGCACCACUGGGAGGAAAGGUCAUUUAUAUUUGAAGCUUCAGAUCUUCGGUCAAAACAAUCAAAGAAUUUGAAGUUAUUCAUAAAUUGAUAAUUCAAUUUAUGAACCAGUCUCUUUGUCUUCCUUUACUUUUCUACUUGAAUUUUGGUUAUUUUCAUUGCAUAUUUACUUCUCCACUAAGACGCCUGAAAGAAGAGGAAUAAAGGCUGAAUUCAAUCUGAUUUAGUCUGUCACUUGUUGCCUUGGCUGAAUGACUGUUUGAGGUGGAGAUAGAAGAGAAUGAGUUCAUCUGUGGAGGUCUCUUAUCUACCAUUAGCUGUCUACUAUGAAGAUAAAUAGGGUUAAUGAUAUUAUUCAUAAUCUUUUAUGUUGAUUCAUAAAAUCUUCCUC
Molecule: long non-coding RNA, 536 nt
Filed under: Homo sapiens (human)
Lineage: Eukaryota; Metazoa; Chordata; Mammalia; Primates; Hominidae
Description: HSALNT0202055
Source: RNAcentral